RNAcentral lists this ribosomal RNA (253 nucleotides) under uncultured bacterium. Its description in RNAcentral is "partial 16S ribosomal RNA". It matches the Rfam family "Bacterial small subunit ribosomal RNA", at positions 524 to 776 of the family's 1533-position model. The record is from RNAcentral.
GACAGAGGUGCCAAGCGUUAGGCGGAAUCACUGGGCUUAAAGCGUGUGUAGGCGGGCCGUUAAGUAUCUUGUGAAAUCCCCCGGCUCAACCGGGGAAUGGCUGGAUAUACUGGCGGUCUUGAGCAGUCUAGGGGCAGAUGGGACAGACGGUGGAGCGGUGAAAUGCGUAGAUAUCGUCUGGAACGCCAAAGGUGAAGACAGUCUGCUGGGGACUUGCUGACGCUGAGACACGAAAGCCAGGGGAGCGAACGGG